RNAcentral lists this ribosomal RNA (497 nucleotides) under uncultured bacterium. Its description in RNAcentral is "partial 16S ribosomal RNA". It matches the Rfam family "Bacterial small subunit ribosomal RNA", at positions 28 to 507 of the family's 1533-position model. The record is from RNAcentral.
GACGAACGCUGGCGGCGUGCCUAAUACAUGCAAGUUGAGCGCUGAAGGUUGGUACUUGUACCAACUGGAUGAGCAGCGAACGGGUGAGUAACGCGUGGGGAAUCUGCCUUUGAGCGGGGGACAACAUUUGGAAACGAAUGCUAAUACCGCAUAAAAACUUUAAACACAAGUUUUAAGUUUGAAAGAUGCAAUUGCAUCACUCAAAGAUGAUCCCGCGUUGUAUUAGCUAGUUGGUGAGGUAAAGGCUCACCAAGGCGAUGAUACAUAGCCGACCUGAGAGGGUGAUCGGCCACAUUGGGACUGAGACACGGCCCAAACGCCUACGGGAGGCAGCAGUAGGGAAUCUUCGGCAAGGGACGAAAGUCUGACCGAGCAACGCCGCGUGAGUGAAGAAGGUUUUCGGAUUGUAAAACUCUGUUGGUAGAGAAGAACGUUGGUGAGAGUGGAAAGCUCAUCAAGUGACGGUAACUACCCAGAAAGGGACGGCUAACUACGUG